GACAGAGGCCUCGAGCGUUAGGCGGAAUCACUGGGCUUAAAGCGUGUGUAGGCGGGUCCGUAAGUGUCUUGUGAAAUCCCACGGCUCAACCGUGGAACUGCUGGGCAUACUGCGGGUCUUGGGCCAACUAGGGGCAGCCGGAACAAACGGUGGAGCGGUGAAAUGCGUAGAUAUCGUUUGGAACGCCAAUGGUGAAAACAGGUUGCUGGGAGUGUGCUGACGCUGAGACACGAAAGCCAGGGGAGCAAACGGG
This 253-nucleotide ribosomal RNA is filed under the name uncultured bacterium. RNAcentral describes it as "partial 16S ribosomal RNA". It matches the Rfam family "Bacterial small subunit ribosomal RNA", at positions 524 to 776 of the family's 1533-position model. The record is from RNAcentral.